RNAcentral lists this transfer RNA (75 nucleotides) under candidate division WWE3 bacterium RAAC2_WWE3_1. RNAcentral's name for it is "tRNA-Gly (CCC) (tRNA-Gly-CCC-1-1)". It matches the Rfam family "tRNA". Rfam says of the family: Transfer RNA (tRNA) molecules are approximately 80 nucleotides in length. RNAcentral also lists the same sequence under 14 other names. Lineage: Bacteria; candidate division WWE3. The record is from RNAcentral.
GCGGGUGUGGCCUAGUGGUAUGGCGUUUCCUUCCCAAGGAAAAGGUCGCGGGUUCGAAUCCCGUCACCCGCUCCA